UACGUAGGGGGCGAGCGUUGUCCGGAUUUACUGGGCGUAAAGCGCACGUAGGCGGAGGGUUAAGUUGGCUGUGAAAGCGCCCGGCUCAACUGGGCGAGGUCGGCCAAGACUGGCUUUCUGGAGGGUAGCAGAGGAAGAUGGAAUUCCCCGAGUAGUGGUGAAAUGCGUAGAGACGGGGAGGAACACCAGUGGCGAAGGCGGUCUUCUGGGCUACAUCUGACGCUGAGGUGCGAAGGCGUGGGGAGCGAACCGG
Molecule: unclassified non-coding RNA, 253 nt
Filed under: uncultured bacterium
Lineage: Bacteria
Description: contains 16S-23S intergenic spacer region
Rfam family: Bacterial small subunit ribosomal RNA
Source: RNAcentral